RNAcentral lists this transfer RNA (74 nucleotides) under Pseudomonadales bacterium. Its description in RNAcentral is "tRNA-Gly". It matches the Rfam family "tRNA". From Rfam's summary of the family: Transfer RNA (tRNA) molecules are approximately 80 nucleotides in length. Their secondary structure includes four short double-helical elements and three loops (D, anti-codon, and T loops). Lineage: Bacteria; Pseudomonadati; Pseudomonadota; Gammaproteobacteria; Pseudomonadales. The record is from RNAcentral.
GCGGGUGUAGUUCACUGGUAGAAUGUCUCCCUUCCAAGGAGAAGAAGUGGGUUCGAUUCCCAUCACCCGCUCCA